RNAcentral lists this transfer RNA (72 nucleotides) under Evynnis tumifrons (yellowback seabream). RNAcentral describes it as "Dentex tumifrons (yellowback seabream) tRNA-Val". It matches the Rfam family "tRNA". From Rfam's summary of the family: Transfer RNA (tRNA) molecules are approximately 80 nucleotides in length. RNAcentral also lists the same sequence under 1 other name. The record is from RNAcentral. Lineage: Eukaryota; Metazoa; Chordata; Actinopteri; Spariformes; Sparidae.
CAGAGCAUAGCUAAAUUAGAACAGCGUCUCCCUUACACUGAGAAGAUAUCCGUGCAAAUCGGAUUGCCCUGA